RNAcentral lists this ribosomal RNA (456 nucleotides) under uncultured bacterium. RNAcentral's name for it is "bacterial SSU rRNA". It matches the Rfam family "Bacterial small subunit ribosomal RNA", at positions 340 to 786 of the family's 1533-position model. The record is from RNAcentral.
UACGGAAGGCAGCAGUGGGGAAUAUUGCACAAUGGGCGCAAGCCUGAUGCAGCCAUGCCGCGUGUAUGAAGAAGGCCUUCGGGUUGUAAAGUACUUUCAGUCGUGAGGAAGGUGUUAAGGUUAAUAACCUUAGCAAUUGACGUUAGCGACAGAAGAAGCACCGGCUAACUCCGCGCCAGCAGCCGCGGUAAUACGGAGGGUGCGAGCGUUAAUCGGAAUUACUGGGCGUAAAGGGCACGCAGGCGGUUAAUUAAGUUGGAUGUGAAAUCCCCGGGCUUAACCUGGGAAUGGCAUUCAAGACUGGUUAGCUAGAGUCUUGUAGAGGGGGUAGAAUUCCAUGUGUAGCGGUGAAAUGCGUAGAGAUGUGGAGGAAUACCGGGCGGCGAAGGCGGGCCCCUGGGACAAAGACUGACGCUCAUGUGCGAAAGCGUGGGGAGCAAACAGGGAUUAGAUACC